Molecule: transfer RNA, 69 nt
Filed under: Osteocephalus mutabor
Lineage: Eukaryota; Metazoa; Chordata; Amphibia; Anura; Hylidae
Description: tRNA-Leu
Rfam family: tRNA
About the family: Transfer RNA (tRNA) molecules are approximately 80 nucleotides in length.
Source: RNAcentral
GUUAACGUAGCACCCGGUAUUGCAAAAGACCUAAACCCUUUCUAUAGAGAUUCAAAUCCUCUCGUUAAC